Molecule: microRNA precursor, 103 nt
Filed under: Glycine max (soybean)
Lineage: Eukaryota; Viridiplantae; Streptophyta; Magnoliopsida; Fabales; Fabaceae
Description: miR10193f stem-loop (gma-MIR10193f)
Source: miRBase by way of RNAcentral
ACCAACAUUGGCCGUUAACAUCGGUUUUUUACAAAAACUGAUGUUAACUUCCAACGUUAACAUUGGUUUUCUAAAAAAACCAAUGUUAACUGUCAAUGUUAAC